This 513-nucleotide ribosomal RNA is filed under the name Microbacterium proteolyticum. RNAcentral's name for it is "bacterial SSU rRNA". It matches the Rfam family "Bacterial small subunit ribosomal RNA", at positions 715 to 1228 of the family's 1533-position model. Lineage: Bacteria; Bacillati; Actinomycetota; Actinomycetes; Micrococcales; Microbacteriaceae. The record is from RNAcentral.
GCGAGCAGAUCUCUGGGCCGUAACUGACGCUGAGGAGCGAAAGGGUGGGGAGCAAACAGGCUUAGAUACCCUGGUAGUCCACCCCGUAAACGUUGGGAACUAGUUGUGGGGACCAUUCCACGGUUUCCGUGACGCAGCUAACGCAUUAAGUUCCCCGCCUGGGGAGUACGGCCGCAAGGCUAAAACUCAAAGGAAUUGACGGGGACCCGCACAAGCGGCGGAGCAUGCGGAUUAAUUCGAUGCAACGCGAAGAACCUUACCAAGGCUUGACAUACACCAGAACACCGUAGAAAUACGGGACUCUUUGGACACUGGUGAACAGGUGGUGCAUGGUUGUCGUCAGCUCGUGUCGUGAGAUGUUGGGUUAAGUCCCGCAACGAGCGCAACCCUCGUUCUAUGUUGCCAGCACGUAAUGGUGGGAACUCAUGGGAUACUGCCGGGGUCAACUCGGAGGAAGGUGGGGAUGACGUCAAAUCAUCAUGCCCCUUAUGUCUUGGGCUUCACGCAUGCUAC